AUCUCCUGGAGCACUUGCAGCAGCCUCUGGGUCAGCUCUUCCCGCCUUACCUUGCACAGAGGGUAAAAAGAAAAUGCAAGACCACCAUGCUGCAUCGGGAUCUCUGAAAGAACGUGAGGAAGACGGUUUCCAAAGGCAGGUGAAGAAAGUACGCGCCCUUGAUGAAAUCAGUGGACAGAGAACUAUGGACACUGAAGGGAAGGUGGACAUGAACGGAUGUGAGCUGGUGGGAAAGAAGCAGCUGUUGGCAGCAAAGGAGGAGGCAAAAUUGGCUGAAGAGAAGACAAGAUGAUACAAGUGAGUUCA
This is a long non-coding RNA of Camelus dromedarius (Arabian camel), 306 nucleotides long. RefSeq lists it as uncharacterized. The transcript has 3 exons. The record is from RefSeq and is a predicted model, not a curated record. NCBI's taxonomy places the organism in Eukaryota, Metazoa, Chordata, Mammalia, Artiodactyla, Camelidae.